RNAcentral lists this long non-coding RNA (524 nucleotides) under Coturnix japonica (Japanese quail). RNAcentral describes it as "lncRNA (ENSCJPG00005008872.1)". The record is from RNAcentral. Lineage: Eukaryota; Metazoa; Chordata; Aves; Galliformes; Phasianidae.
CUGCUCAAUCAGGAUGUAAUUUUGAAUCCUUUCUUUCUCCAGAACACUCAAAAUGGCAGUUGUAACUAAACCUACAAGCAUACAGACCUCACAGUCAGAAGAGCAAUAACUCAUUAUGGAAUAAUGUCACAGAGCAUCUUGCAGCAAUUUUGUCACCAACAACUUUGUUACUUGAAACUAUGAGACAGACUGCUCUGAGCUGGAAAUAUCAAUAACAGGAAUUGCUGGAACAACAUAUGCCUGCUAUGUAUGCACAGUUUGUGCUGCUGGGGAGCCAUUCCUACCUCACAAGAAAAAACUAGAUUGGCAUUUUAUGGCAACGAUUUUGUCUACAGUAGUGUUUCUAAUAACAAACCAUGCAAACACAUAAGGGAUCCAUCUCUCUCGAUACUAUACUCAUUAUGAGACAGUGGUGCUCCAUUUCAGAUUUCUGACCUUUGCAAAGAUGAAAAUGCUGUCAGAAUGGUAAGGUUCUGUGACAGAUUGGAAAUCGUAUGGCUUGAGAGUGCAAUUGCAUUGUUGUG